RNAcentral lists this transfer RNA (96 nucleotides) under Cellulomonas marina. Its description in RNAcentral is "tRNA-Leu". The record is from RNAcentral. Lineage: Bacteria; Bacillati; Actinomycetota; Actinomycetes; Micrococcales; Cellulomonadaceae.
GGGCGUGGUGGGUGGACCCGGCGUGCGGCCCGCCGUCGAGGUCGGAGGGGCCGGGACCCGCGGCGGCCGGGCGCGGGUCGCCGCCGUACGCCCCCG